Long non-coding RNA from Eubalaena glacialis (North Atlantic right whale), 410 nucleotides. RefSeq lists it as uncharacterized. Lineage: Eukaryota; Metazoa; Chordata; Mammalia; Artiodactyla; Balaenidae. The record is from RefSeq and is a predicted model, not a curated record. The transcript has 3 exons.
GCUGGUCUUCCUCAGAGGAUGUUUCUCCAACCUCUGCUUCAGAGAACUUGGUGCACUUAUUCUUCCUAGGGACCGGGCCCUGGAAACCAAAAGGCAGCUGGAAGCCAGGAGAGGGGGUGAGGAGCCCACUGGGCCUUGCAGCUGGAGGUCGUGUCUCCUAGGAGGAGCCUACCACUGGCUGGAUCGAUGUGGACACUGAGGCACUGAGAAUAAAGGGACCUGUCCAAGGGAGGCAUCCAGAGCUGGAAAGUGAGCCCCAGUGGGGGUUCAGCCCCAGAGCGUCUGGGCCCUGCCCCUAGGAGGCCGGUGAGUGAAGGGACUUAGCCCUAAGUCCCCGGGCCAGGCCGAGACAGGCGAGGGGCAUUUGCUGGGUAAGUGGUGAGGAGAGGGGGUGCCUGCCGCCUGCAACC